This 1483-nucleotide ribosomal RNA is filed under the name metagenome. RNAcentral describes it as "bacterial SSU rRNA". It matches the Rfam family "Bacterial small subunit ribosomal RNA". The record is from RNAcentral.
AGAGUUUGAUCCUGGCUCAGGACGAACGCUGGCGGCGUGCUUAACACAUGCAAGUCGAACGAGAAUCUGCGGAAAGAGGAUUCGUCCAAUAGAAGCAGAGGACAGUGGCGGACGGGUGAGUAACGCGUGAGGAACCUGCCUUUCAGAGGGGGACAACAGUUGGAAACGACUGCUAAUACCGCAUGACACAUAGGUGUCGCAUGGCACUUAUGUCAAAGAUUUAUCGCUGAAAGAUGGCCUCGCGUCUGAUUAGCUAGUUGGUGAGGUAACGGCCCACCAAGGCGACGAUCAGUAGCCGGACUGAGAGGUUGAACGGCCACAUUGGGACUGAGAUACGGCCCAGACUCCUACGGGAGGCAGCAGUGGGGAAUAUUGGGCAAUGGGCGCAAGCCUGACCCAGCAACGCCGCGUGAAGGAAGAAGGCUUUCGGGUUGUAAACUUCUUUUGUCAGGGACGAGUAGAAGACGGUACCUGACGAAUAAGCCACGGCUAACUACGUGCCAGCAGCCGCGGUAAUACGUAGGUGGCAAGCGUUGUCCGGAUUUACUGGGUGUAAAGGGCGUGUAGCCGGGAGGGCAAGUCAGAUGUGAAAUCCACGGGCUCAACUCGUGAACUGCAUUUGAAACUACUCUUCUUGAGUAUCGGAGAGGCAAUCGGAAUUCCUAGUGUAGCGGUGAAAUGCGUAGAUAUUAGGAGGAACACCAGUGGCGAAGGCGGAUUGCUGGACGACAACUGACGGUGAGGCGCGAAAGCGUGGGGAGCAAACAGGAUUAGAUACCCUGGUAGUCCACGCUGUAAACGAUGAAUACUAGGUGUGCGGGGACUGACCCCCUGCGUGCCGCAGCUAACGCAAUAAGUAAUCCACCUGGGGAGUACGACCGCAAGGUUGAAACUCAAAGGAAUUGACGGGGGCCCGCACAAGCAGUGGAGUAUGUGGUUUAAUUCGACGCAACGCGAAGAACCUUACCAAGUCUUGACAUCCGUUGACCGCUGUAGAAAUACAGUUUUCCUUCGGGACAGCGAGACAGGUGGUGCAUGGUUGUCGUCAGCUCGUGUCGUGAGAUGUUGGGUUAAGUCCCGCAACGAGCGCAACCCUUAUGGUCAGUUACUACGCAAGAGGACUCUGGCCAGACUGCCGUUGACAAAACGGAGGAAGGUGGGGAUGACGUCAAAUCAUCAUGCCCUUUAUGACUUGGGCUACACACGUACUACAAUGGCGUUAAACAAAGAGAAGCAAGACCGCGAGGUGGAGCAAAACUCAGAAACAACGUCCCAGUUCGGACUGCAGGCUGCAACUCGCCUGCACGAAGUCGGAAUUGCUAGUAAUCGUGGAUCAGCAUGCCACGGUGAAUACGUUCCCGGGCCUUGUACACACCGCCCGUCACACCAUGAGAGCCGGGGGGACCCGAAGUCGGUAGUCUAACCGCAAGGAGGACGCCGCCGAAGGUAAAACUGGUGAUUGGGGUGAAGUCGUAACAAGGUA